AUACAACAGGUUUGUUUGGCUGUA
RNAcentral lists this non-coding RNA (24 nucleotides) under Arabidopsis thaliana (thale cress). The record is from RNAcentral. Lineage: Eukaryota; Viridiplantae; Streptophyta; Magnoliopsida; Brassicales; Brassicaceae.